ACAGCAGUAGCCACGGUAAAACGUAGGUGGCAAGCGUUGUCCGGAAUUAUUGGGCGUAAAGGGCUCGCAGGCGGUUUCUUAAGUCUGAUGUGAAAGCCCCCGGCUCAACCGGGGAGGGUCAUUGGAAACUGGGAAACUUGAGUGCAGAAGAGGAGAGUGGAAUUCCACGUGUAGCGGUGAAAUGCGUAGAGAUGUGGAGGAACACCAGUGGCGAAGGCGACUCUCUGGUCUGUAACUGACGCUGAGGAGCGAAAGCGUGGGGAGCGAACAGGAUUAGAUACCCCCGUAGUCCCUGUCUCUUAUAC
This 305-nucleotide ribosomal RNA is filed under the name uncultured bacterium. Its description in RNAcentral is "partial 16S ribosomal RNA". It matches the Rfam family "Bacterial small subunit ribosomal RNA", at positions 505 to 807 of the family's 1533-position model. The record is from RNAcentral.